UGGGGAAUAUUGGACAAUGGGCGCAAGCCUGAUCCAGCAAUGCCGCGUGAGUGAAGAAGGCCUUAGGGUUGUAAAGCUCUUUCGGCGGGGACGAUGAUGACGGUACCCGCAGAAGAAGCCCCGGCUAACUCCGUGCCAGCAGCCGCGGUAAUACGGAGGGGGCUAGCGUUGUUCGGAAUUACUGGGCGUAAAGGGCGCGUAGGCGGCGCGAUAAGUUGGGCGUGAAAGGCCCGGGCUCAACCCGGGGACUGCGCUUGAUACUGUCGCGCUGUGAGUCCGGGAGAGGAUGGCGGAAUUCCCAGUGUAGAGGUGAAAUUCGUAGAUAUUGGGAAGAACACCGGUGGCGAAGGCGGCCAUCUGGACCGGCACUGACGCUGAGGCGCGAAAGCGUGGGGAGCAAACAGGAUUAGAUACCCCCGUAGUCC
This 425-nucleotide ribosomal RNA is filed under the name uncultured bacterium. Its description in RNAcentral is "bacterial SSU rRNA". It matches the Rfam family "Bacterial small subunit ribosomal RNA", at positions 355 to 796 of the family's 1533-position model. The record is from RNAcentral.